Molecule: ribosomal RNA, 253 nt
Filed under: uncultured bacterium
Lineage: Bacteria
Description: partial 16S ribosomal RNA
Rfam family: Bacterial small subunit ribosomal RNA
Source: RNAcentral
UACGUAGGCAGCGAGCGUUGUUCGGAAUUACUGGGCGUAAAGAGUGUGUAGGCGGUGCUCCAAGUCUGUUGUGAAAUCUCCCGGCUUAACUGGGAGGGUGCGGCGGAAACUAGAGUGCUAGAGGGUGGGAGAGGUAAGCGGAAUUCCUGGUGUAGCGGUGGAAUGCGUAGAUAUCAGGAGGAACACCUGUGGUGUAGACAGCUUACUGGACCACUUCUGACGCUGAGACACGAAAGCGUGGGUAGCAAACAGG